This 253-nucleotide ribosomal RNA is filed under the name uncultured bacterium. Its description in RNAcentral is "partial 16S ribosomal RNA". It matches the Rfam family "Bacterial small subunit ribosomal RNA", at positions 524 to 776 of the family's 1533-position model. The record is from RNAcentral.
UACGGAGGGGGCAAGCGUUAUUCGGAAUUAUUGGGCGUAAAGGGCGCGUAGGCGGCUAGAUGUGUCAAAGGUGAAAUCCCUCAGCUCAACUGAGGAACUGCCUUUGAAACUGUCUGGCUUGAGGCCGGGAGAGGGUAGCGGAAUUCCCAGUGUAGCGGUGAAAUGCGUAGAGAUGUGGAGGAACACCAGUGGCGAAGGCGGCUUUCUGGUCUGUAACUGACGCUGAGGCGCGAAAGCGUGGGGAGCAAACAGG